UGCGCCGGCGAGGCAGCGGACGACGGGAAGAGCAGCGACGGUUCGAGUGACGCCGGGUCCGGCAUUGCAGGCAACGAUAGCGCCGGUGGCAGGAGGUGGGCGGCGACGGCGAGCACGACGAGAGCGCAGUGGAGGGUCCGCAUCGUUGGCGCACAGGUGCUUGGCUUGCGAGGGGGAAGAUUGACAGAGAUAGAACGGAAAAAAAAUGGACCCUUGAGGAAU
Molecule: long non-coding RNA, 222 nt
Filed under: Oryza brachyantha (malo sina)
Lineage: Eukaryota; Viridiplantae; Streptophyta; Magnoliopsida; Poales; Poaceae
Description: long non-coding RNA (OBRA_LNC001730)
Source: RNAcentral